RNAcentral lists this ribosomal RNA (274 nucleotides) under uncultured bacterium. RNAcentral describes it as "partial 16S ribosomal RNA". It matches the Rfam family "Bacterial small subunit ribosomal RNA", at positions 523 to 796 of the family's 1533-position model. The record is from RNAcentral.
AUACGGAGGGUGCGAGCGUUAAUCGGAAUUACUGGGCGUAAAGCGUGCGUAGGCGGUUUGCUAAGUGAGAUGUGAAAGCCCCGGGCUUAACCUGGGAACUGCAUUUGAUACUGGCAGACUAGAGUAUGAUAGAGGGGGGUAGAAUUCCUGGUGUAGCGGUGAAAUGCGUAGAUAUCAGGAGGAAUACCAGUGGCGAAGGCGGCCCCCUGGAUCAAUACUGACGCUGAGGUACGAAAGCAUGGGGAGCGAACAGGAUUAGAAACCCUAGUAGUCC